UGCUGAAACACAAUAGCAAUUUAUAUGUUGGAAAGCUCCCAUGUCUGUCAAAACAUGUUAGACACUGCAUCAACAGCAAGCUGCUUAAAUUGCCACAGUGAAUUUCUUAGCUAUUUGCAAACUGUUUGGAAGUAUGAAGAAAUGGCAGAAUUUUUACAAGACAAAGAAGUUGAGAUGCCAAUGGACCCAUCAGCAAUUCCUGAUGCCAAGAAUCACCAUCCCCCAUGAUCUGCCCAAAUGCUCCAGUUUCCCACUGAUAUACCCCCUCCAUUCCUUGAGGCCAGCAGAUAAGGUGUUGUUCAAGACUUGGCAGAACUAGCAUCCCAAGGAUCAACUGAAGCCACAGUGUAUUGAAACUAUUGAGGUGUUCCUGACUACACACAUUGGUCAAGCUAGCAGGACUGAAACCAGAACAGAAAAAUAAAUGAAAUUCUACAGAGUGACUAUGUCAUACGAGAAGUGUGAAAACAGAAACAUGGGAAUAGCAACAUUUAC
Molecule: non-coding RNA, 495 nt
Organism: Microcebus murinus (gray mouse lemur)
Lineage: Eukaryota; Metazoa; Chordata; Mammalia; Primates; Cheirogaleidae
Source: RefSeq, a predicted model, not a curated record